Long non-coding RNA from Polypterus senegalus (gray bichir), 2051 nucleotides. RefSeq lists it as uncharacterized. The record is from RefSeq and is a predicted model, not a curated record. Lineage: Eukaryota; Metazoa; Chordata; Cladistia; Polypteriformes; Polypteridae. The transcript has 3 exons.
UCAAGAGAAACCGAGAGAGGGAGAGAGAGGACCUGGAGAGAGUUCUCGUGUCAGUUCCUAUUUCAUCGUUAGUUCUCCUCUAAACCUGCACGUAAAACUGAAGCUUUUGCCGAUGCCACUGUGGUAAACCGUGUCGGCGUGGAGUCGUUGUCAGCCAGGAGCAUCGUCACAAGACUUGUCCAGGGACAGUUUUUGGUCCAGAUAAUGUCUGGCUCUGCUGUUUCUUGUCGUAAGUGCCUAAACAACACUUAUUCAUUUUGUUAUAUCUGUGGCAGUUUCACCAUUCCCAGUCAAAGGGCGAACAUCAGCACAUUUGUAGAGCAAGUCUAUUUGGCAUAUUUCACAGUUAAACUUGGUGAUCAAGAUAAGUCUUGAGACCCUAAUAAGGUGUGCAAACAGUGUGUUGAGGGUUUACGGAUGUGGACAAAGGGAACACGUGAUAAGAUGCCAUUUGGUAUACCUAUGGUUUGGCGAGAGCCAGGAGAUCAUUUCAGUGACUGCUACUUUUAUAUAGUGAAAACUGCAGGAUAUAACAAGAAAAAUAAAUGUAACAGAGUAUCCUAGUCUACCAUCAGCUAUACGCCCAGUGGCUCACUCAGAUGAAAUCCCAGUGCCGGUUUUCAUUACACUACCCUCUCUUGAAGAAUAUGAUUAUGGUGUUGAACUAGGUGACCACAAUGAUGAAUAGUUUGAAAUUGAAGAGGACUGUUCGUAAGGGAUUUGAGCAGCAUGAGUUGAGUGAUUUGGCACGUGACUUGGGACUAUCGAAGGUGGCUUCAGAACUCCUAGCAUCAAGACUGCGUGAGAAAACUUACUUGAAAAAGGAACAAAGGUAUUGUAACUUCGAACCAGAGAAAUUGCAUUUCUGCUGUACUUUAGAACUGACAGUGGCUUUGUGUACUGCCAUAACAUACCUGGUUUAAUGGAGGAACUGGGAAUUCCAAUCUAUAACUCAACUGAAUGGCGACUAUUCAUCGAUAGCUCAAAGCGGAGCUUAAAGUGUGUCCUUCACAAUGGCAAUAUAUUUGGGUCAGUCCCAAUUGGCCAUUCAGUUUCUCUUUGUGAAGAAUAUGCAGAUAUAACGAGAGUCAUUGAGUUGUUGCAAUAUCACCAACACAAUUGGGUCAUCUGUGUUGACCUUAAAAUGGUAUGCUUUCUUCUUGGUAAGCAACUCAGAUACACCAAGUAUCCCUGUUAUCUGUGCAUGUGGGACAGCAGAGUUCGUGAGAGGCAUUGGGUGGAAAGGAAUUGGCCUCCAAGAUCUGCCCUAAAACCAAGUGAUCCAAACAUUCUACAUGAGCCGCUUGUGGAUAGAAAGAAUAUUAUAUUCCUGCCUCUGCACAUGAAACUGGGUCUGAUGAAGCAGUUCAUUAAAGCUUUGCCAACUGAAGGAGACUGUUUCAAGUACCUCAUUUUGGCAUGUCCUAGCCUGUCAUUUGAAAAAAAUAAAGGCCGGUGUGUUUGAUGGUCCACAGAUUCGGCAGCUCAUCAAAGAUGAACAUUUCAUCAGGACAAUAUCAGAAGUCGAAAAAAAUGCUUGGUUGCAAUAUGAGCAUCAAGGUACAUUUUCUGCAUAGCCAUCUUUCUAACUUCCCGGAAAACCUUGGUGCAGUCAGUGAUGAGCAAGGUGAACGAUUCCACCAAGAUUUAAAGGUCAUGGAAGGAUGGUAUCAGGGUAGAUGGGAUGUGGGAUGUACAUAAGAUGGCUGACUAUUGUUGGAGCAGCCGGCGGGAUUGUCCUAACACUGAACACUCCAGGAAAAACUAUAAGCGUAAAUUUUUACCUUAACCGCUUACCCAAUUAAUUUUCAAAUGUUUUACUGUAAAAAAAAUGUGACAGAGUAACAAUAAAUCAUUUGUAUGAACAAAAGAAAUUUAAAUAAACAGUACAUUCAAGUUAUUAUUUCAUUGUAUGUACAAUUUGUAUGUUUUUUGACAAAAAAUGGAGGGUACCCUAUAUCAUAAAAACAGGAUGUGAUAGCAAAAAACUGGGGUCUUUUCUGGAUUCACCACCCAAAAAUUAGUAAAAAACAAGUGUACAUCUAACUCAU